This 262-nucleotide ribosomal RNA is filed under the name uncultured archaeon. RNAcentral describes it as "partial 16S ribosomal RNA". It matches the Rfam family "Archaeal small subunit ribosomal RNA", at positions 748 to 1008 of the family's 1478-position model. The record is from RNAcentral.
UAGCCGUAAACGAUACUCGCUAGGUGUCGGCCACGGUGCGACCGUUGUCGAUGCCGUAGGGAAGCCGUGAAGCGAGCCACCUGGGAAGUACGGCCGCAAGGCUGAAACUUAAAGGAAUUGGCGGGGGAGCACAACAACGGGUGGAGCUUGCGGUUUAAUUUGGAUUCAACGCCGGAAAUCUUACCGGGACCGACAGCAACAUGAAGGCCAGGCUGAAGACUUUGCCGGAUUAGCUGAGAGGAGGUGCAUGGCGUCAGUGACU